CCGCACAGCUCCGCCAGUGAUUGCCUGGCUGGAGACUCAGAUACUCAAGUUUCCCUUGGCGUGCUCUCCUGGUGGGUAGGCUAGGCUAACCCCCAAACCCUGCGGUGCUCUCCGCGGGAAGAAGGGCGCUGAGGGCGCAGGUUGUCAGCUCAGAGCGUAAGGACGCGUGUAUGUAAGGAGGGGCAAGGCGAGCGGUACCAGCCCCAGGGUCCGGCUAGUCUACCUCGGUGUGCUCCUCUGCACCCCAGGACUGAGCUAGGCUGCUCCAGCAGGCGAGGAUCCCGGAGCCAAGGAGUUCCGAGAGCCCGGGGAUUAAGCGGCUACUUCAUGAACUCCAAAUCCCCAGGCACCCGCGCCCCGGUUUAUGAUGAUCGCUGAGCUAGCGCCCCCCCCCCCCGCUUCCACUUCCAGAUGCCAGCCUGUGGCUUGGGGCAGGAAGCAGCCGGGCGCUCCAGGAUUCUCGGGAUUGGGACUGUAGACAGAAGAAAGCCUGGCUGUUGUGGGAGACCCGCUGCUGAGCCCAGAGAGCUGCGACCGUGUUUCUGCCACGUAAAACAUAGGCAGACCUUGGAGCGCGGAGCCUGGUUGCAGCGGAGCACGGCCUCCUCACCCUGUCCUCACCCUGCGUAAAGGCGCGGGGCUGGGUAACCCCCCCCCACCCCCGACGCUGCAGGCUGUAUUGUUCCCCGAGAUUUGAAGCCCUCUCCUUUGGGGUUACAUGAACCCGGAGGAUGGGUGGUGGCGCGCCUUUCAGCUAGGGGGCAGGCGCCUACAGACACUGACCAGCCACGUAGAAACACAGGUGCUCCAGGAAUUCUGAAUCUGGGGUCGAGGGGCCCAUUUCUGUGCAUCCCGAGGGAGGAGGGACAAGACUGGCAAGAAUCGGGUAUUGGGGUGUCAGGAUGAUCUUGGCAAGUGUCUCCUAGCGUCAGCUUUAGAUUACAGACAAUUGUGUCCACCGGCCCUCCAGCCUCCGAGGAGGUGCCUCCUGGGCGUCUGCCGGGUGCUCCCCUCCCCCAUCUCGUCCGGUUCCCUCCUCGAGGGCUUUCCGAGAACUGCAGCAGGUGGCGUUUGGCGUAUGAAUAGCAAGGACAACCCAGGGACUUAAACUGGUUGUGGCCUCUGAUCAAGCACUUCACCGGGCUCAUUGCCCUCCGAAGGAGUCGGUGAAGAAGGUGAAAAGGUCAUAAGCCUUCUGGGAAGUGGCAUUUAUAGACUCACUGCCAUCACAGAGACUGACUCCUACCUGGUGCAAGAGCUGGCAAAGAUUUAGGAAUGCUGGCAAGGAGACUCUGGUCAAAGGUUUUGGCUGAAAAACUAGGGUCAGCCAGGGAGAAAGGACGCUGGGACACUGGUGCUCCAGGCCAGGACUCUGCGUUGGGUGUCUGGGCUGGGCGCUCGACUGAAGCUUGUGCGAGGCGCGGAGCUGCUGCUUAUGCUCCCGCGCCCGACUCAGCCUUCUUUCCGGCCCUGGUUACCCGGCCCCGCCUACAGCACAGAUCCGCCCCCCUCCCCGCCCCAUCGCACCUCCACCCCGGGCGCAGUUAGCCAGCCCCGUCCCGAAGCGCCUCCGUUAGUCGCCACUGGGCUUCCUCCUAGGCUGCCUGACCCGUUGGAAGCCCCCCGGUGGGUUGGGCGCGCCGGGAGUCUGGGAGUCAAAUGCCCCGGGUCGAGCGGAAGGGGCAGUCGCGGGGCGGUCGGCCCUCUGCAGGCAAGGUCUAGGCGUCAGCCGCGCCCAGGGCAGAGCCAGGGGAACGACAGAGGCGGGGGACAGCCCUGGCGCCCUGCCACAGCGAGCGCGUGUCCCCGCCUCCCCACGCCAGGCGCCGGGUGCAUCCCUGCCAAUUCCAACUGCGCCGAAUCCAGUGUCCAGGACUCUUGCAGAACUCAAGGCUGGAGUAGGCCUUUACCAGGUCUCAAUGAAGCCGAGCAAAGGUUUUCAGAGUGCUAUCUGGACUUGUUUUUCUCUGUUUCCAAGUGGCAAACAUGCUGCUCUUUCAAAAGCUUUGAAAAGUCAUCAGAAACGAAGCAACCCUCUCCACCCACCUACUGUAAGAUGCCUGGAGCCUACACGCAGCCUAAGCCUGAGCAUGUCUCCUGUUAUCCUCUAGAACAGUUGGCUAAAAAACCAAAGAUACAUACUUUUCCUGACUACUCGUAUGAAAAUAGACACUCU
This 2176-nucleotide long non-coding RNA is filed under the name Cricetulus griseus (Chinese hamster). RNAcentral describes it as "lncRNA (ENSCGRG00015037710.1)". Lineage: Eukaryota; Metazoa; Chordata; Mammalia; Rodentia; Cricetidae. The record is from RNAcentral.